Molecule: signal recognition particle RNA, 98 nt
Filed under: Methanobacterium paludis
Lineage: Archaea; Methanobacteriati; Methanobacteriota; Methanobacteria; Methanobacteriales; Methanobacteriaceae
Description: SRP RNA; RNA component of signal recognition particle
Rfam family: Bacterial small signal recognition particle RNA (bases 15-57)
Source: RNAcentral
UAAACUGCCUUAAUCAUGGGAAACGGGUCAGGUCUGGAAAGAAGCAGCCCUACCAUGGACAGCUGAUGCUUGUGGAGCAACGGGGUGGAGUUGGGUUU